Molecule: ribosomal RNA, 253 nt
Filed under: uncultured bacterium
Lineage: Bacteria
Description: partial 16S ribosomal RNA
Rfam family: Bacterial small subunit ribosomal RNA
Source: RNAcentral
UACAGAGGUCUCGAGCGUUAGGCGGAAUCACUGGGCUUAAAGCGUGUGUAGGCGGGUCGUUAAGUAACUUGUGAAAUCCCAUGGCUCAACCAUGGAACUGCUUGGUAUACUGGCGAUCUUGUGCAACCUAGGGGCGAGCGGAACAGAUGGUGGAGCGGUGAAAUGCGUAGAUAUCAUCUGGAACGCCAAUGGUGAAAACAGCUCGCUGGGGGUUUGCAGACGCUGAGACACGAAAGCCAGGGGAGCGAACGGG